This is a non-coding RNA of Oryctolagus cuniculus (rabbit), 4046 nucleotides long. Lineage: Eukaryota; Metazoa; Chordata; Mammalia; Lagomorpha; Leporidae. The record is from RefSeq and is a predicted model, not a curated record.
CAGCUUCCUCAUUAAGAAUUAUAAAAAGACUCAAAAAAUAUUGAAUUCAAUCAAGAAAAAGAUAAUAGCAGACAUUAUUAAAUGCUGUAAAAAUAAAUAUCACAAGUGAAUAAACAAAGAUAUAAUGAUUUUUAAAGAAAUGUUAACAAAGUUAUUAAAACUAAUAAAAGAAAUUAAGGAAAUAAAGGUAAAAAAUCACACAAAUAACCUAUUUCAGGAAUUAAAACACAUUCUUUAGUAAAAAUUAUAGCCUUUACCAACCUACUAAAGGAAAUGUGUCAAAUUCUUAGGAGUAAAAUCCGACUAUACACAUCAAAAUCCACUAUAUUUUGAAAAUGAAAUUCCCAAAACACGAACAUAACAUGAAAUAGGAAAACUCCUACAUAAACCAAGUAAGUUGAAUCACAUUUUAAAACUGAAACCAACCAACAAAAAAACUUAAACAAUCAAAAUUUCUGGUCCAUGUUUACAGGCAUAUUCCAAACUUCUAGAGAAGAAAAACAAACAUACUUGCCAGACCUGUGCAAAGUGGAAAUAAGCACAGAAUAUUUUUAAAUUUAUUUUUGGAAAGUGAGGAUUACAUUAAUGAUGAUGCAUGUGUACCAGUACGUGAAGUAAUUUUUUAAAAGCAUACCUUUCAUAAAGAGAUAGAAAUAUUCUAAGCAAAGUAUUAUUAUAAUAAAUGAAAUCACAUAGGAAAACCAAGUAAGAUGAUUACAAGCAAGAGACAGUAAAAAUAUGAGAGUUGUCGAGAUUCCCAGAAUUGUUGAGAUUCCCAAAGAAGUCACCCAAGUAGGUGAAAAAUACAAAAAGAAAAUCACAUGAUUGUUUAGGUUACAUGUGAAAAUAUUUAAUAAAGUUCAACAUCCAGUGAAAAAACUUGCUAUCCAUCAAACAAAUAAGCAGAAACUAAAUUCUUCAAUCAUAUCAAGAUUUACUCCUAAGAUUUGACAAGAUUAAAAUAACUAGCACAACUAAUACAGGAUCAUUGAGAACUUUUUCCCUGGAAGUAAGCCUCGACCAGGAGGGCACUACUAUUUCUUUCAACUUCCUAUUGGAAACGUAGUCAAGGAAAUAAAGUGGCAAAAAGGAAACACAAUGUGUAAAGAUCAAUUUCUAAGGAAAAAAUUAUAUAUAUAAAUACAUAUGUGUACAUAUACACACAUAAUUAUAUAGGAUGGCCCUUAAAUAUAUAGAUAAUUCAUAAAAUCUAAAAAUAAUACAACUGAUACACAAAUUCAACAAUAUUACUGGAAAUAUUAAUGUAUAAAAUCCACUAAUUAUUAAGCACUAGCAAGAAACAAACAUAAAAUAAUAUUAAUGGGCAAGAGGCAGAAUAGAAAACAAAUAAGUACAGUAGAGAGGUAAAAAAAAGGAUUGAAUUAUGUAAUAUGUAGAAACAUUCAAAUAUCAGCAUUAAAAACCCCACAUUGAAAUGAGUCUGAAAUAUGAAGAAAAUGUAAAACACCAAAGCCAAUAAAUAGCCAAUACACUUUAAUUCACCCUAAGCAAGUUACUGCAGCCUCCAGGUAGGAUUCUCCCAGGAAGACCCAUGAGGAGGCAGGAGGGUCCCAGCAGGUGGCAGGAUCCCUGCUGGUGAAAGGGUGCAGCCUAGAGGAGGCCCUUGGCCCCUGAACCCAGGCCAUGCCUCUUUACCAUCUGAAGCAGCCUGGAGUUUCAUGUCCCUGCUGUAAAGAUGCUGAUUUGUUGCAUCUGCUGGGUCCUGCGUGCUGACGGCUAUGUGAGCUGUCCAAUCAGGCGUGGUGAUGUCACUGCCACAUAAUCACACUGGAUUGUUACACCGUAGAGUUCCAAAUUCUUGGAGGAGAGAGGUCCAAGGAGGGGCCUCUGCUGUUGGGAGACUCAGGAGCUAGUGUGGUAUCCGCUGGUAGCUGACCUUGUCCACCGCAACACAGCCUAUCUCGGAUGCCUGGGAAUGGAGCGAUGUAUUUGUAAAGCAAAAGCUGCAUUCUCACUUGCAAACAUAAAAUGAAGCAUGAAAGGAAUCUUUUCUGUAAUGGAAACAAGUCUGGGAGACAUCUGCUGGAAAGGAAUGAAAAGCACAAAGGUGCGGGUUGCUCUCUUCACUUCUCAAGCUAGGGAUCACCCCCUUCUGGGGGCCCCUCACCACCCAGGGUGUAAUGUGCCUCAUGACCAUCAACAUAUCACUGAAUGGUUUUCUUAUGGAAAAGCUGCAGGAGCCCAAGGAGAAGCAGACAGGCUUUCUUUUAAGGAUUUCAAAAGAACUCAGCAAAAGAGUGAUUCCAUAACCAUGUUCCUGUAUUGAUUGGGACUCAGAGUAAGGAAGAAGAGAAGUGGAGGGGUUCAAGAAGCUAAUGUUAAAUGCUGUGUAGGUAAAAGAUGCUGGGAAGUUCUCUAACCAAGCAGAUUAUUCCAUAUGUAAGGUUAUAGGGAUUGUAAGUAACUGUGGAAUACUUUGCACAAUAUAUCAAGUUCUGUACUAUCAUGAUCAGUGUAAGAUGUAAAAGCAUUUAUUUUCUGUGUGUCUGUAUGUAAAUAAUUUCUGAUAGAUUAAUUAACAUUCAUAUAUUUUAUAGAAUUACUUCAUCAAUUUAUUUUAAAGAAGCAUCAUUUUUGGGGCCAGCGCUGUGGCUCAGUGGGUUGACACCCUGGCCUGGAGCACCGGCAUCCCAUGUGUGCACUGGUUCUAGUCCCAGCUGCUCUUCUUCCGGUCUGACUCUCUGCUGUGGCCUGGGAUGGCAGUGGAGGAUGGCUCAAGUCCUUGGGCCCCUGUACCCAUGUGGGAGACCUGGAGGAGGCUCCUGGCUCUUGGCUUUGGAUUGGCAUAGCACCGGCCAUUGCAGUCAUGUAGGGAGUGAGCCAGUGGAUGGAAGACCUCUUUCUCUCUGUCUCUACGUCUGUCUGUGGCUCUGUCUUUCAAAUAAACAGAAUAAAUCUUAAAAAAAAGAAACAUCAUUUUCACUUGUAUGGAAAGGGGAAUAACUGUUGUACAGUGAAAAGGAAAUUCAUUCAUCAAUGAAACAUAAAAAUAUUCAGAAAUCAUUUACUGGAAUAUUGUAUGUUGUUAUGUGUUUGAUUAUAGAUGACACAAAUACACCGUCUAUAUUCUGUUUUGCUUAAAAUUUCUGCAUGUGUGACUUUAUUUUUUCCUUAUAACCCCAAUUAUUUUGGUAUCAUAAGAUGGAAAAUGAGUUCUAUAUUGGCCAAGACAUGCUUAGUUUUCCAGUUCUAAAUAUUCAAUGUUAUAAAUAACUUUAGAAAUAAAUAUAUUUAUUUACUAUACUAAUGCCUUUCCAAAAAUUUUGUAAACCUCUAUCUUCUUUUGUAUAUACUGAUAAUACCUCUGCUACGCUACUGGAAUUUACAGCUGUGUGUAAUGCUGAAGAAUUGAAACUGUCUUGUUCAUGGCUUACAGGACUAAGCAUGGCAACUUUACUGGAAGCAAGAAGAUUUAGAGAUUUGCUCUCAGGAAAGAAAGACAAAGAAAGUCUUCACAGAGGACUGCACUAUCAAAGAUGAGACACUAUUUUCAACAAUUUCUCUCCAGAGAAUUGGUUUCAAUAGAUGAUGUGACCUAUACUGACUGACAUUUGGACAUCUGUCAACAAAGGAUCUCAGGUUCUACAUAGUCCCCUACAGUGGGCUAGCCAUAUGACAAUCCUGCAUAGAAUUUAUAAACAGUUUUUUUGUGUGUGUGUUCACUUUUAACUGUUUACAGAAUCUCUUUCUGCUUGGAAAAUAACCUAUUAAAGUGAAAUUUGGGGCAUUAAUCUUAUUUACUUUAUCUAGUCAACCCUGCACUUCAUUGAAAAGUGCUCUUGAGAUCCAGAGGUGUUCUUUUUUAAUAAUCCCCUUCCUAGUAUUUUCACCAUUUGAAAUGUAUAAAUAUCCAACUAUAAUGAGAUCAUUUUCAGGUAGAAUCACAUAGUUGUGUUCCUUAUAGAUGUUUUAUUUUCUCUUUCUGAUUAAUAGUACUUAAUUCUGGAAAUUAAGCUUUCUCUGAAAUGCUUUCAAAAUUGGCACCAAAUAUUUCUUGCUCAAGAUCAUAGUUCAUAAUAGUAUGU